This 409-nucleotide ribosomal RNA is filed under the name bacterium. Its description in RNAcentral is "partial 16S ribosomal RNA". It matches the Rfam family "Bacterial small subunit ribosomal RNA", at positions 355 to 776 of the family's 1533-position model. The record is from RNAcentral.
UGGGGAAUAUUGCACAAUGGGCGAAAGCCUGAUGCAGCGACGCCGCGUGAGGGAUGACGGCCUUCGGGUUGUAACCCUCUUUCAGCAGGGACGAAGCGCAAGUGAUGGUACCUGCAGAAGAAGCACCGGCUAACUACGUGCCAGCAGCCGCGGUAAUACGUAGGGUGCAAGCGUUGUCCGGAAUUACUGGGCGUAAAGAGUUCGUAGGCGGUUUGUCGCGUCGUUUGUGAAAACCAGCAGCUCAACUGGUGGCUUGCAGGCGAUACGGGCAGACUUGAGUACUGUAGAGGAGACUGGAAUUCCUGGUGUAGCGGUGAAAUGCGCAGAUAUCAGGAGGAACACCGGUGGCGAAGGCGGGUCUCUGGGCAGUAACUGACGCUGAGGAGCGAAAGCGUGGGUAGCAAACAGG